AUGACGCACAGCAGCAGCCACCACCACCACCACCACCACCACCACGCGCUCUGCUGCCUCUCCUCCGCACCGCAACAUCCCGAAGCGUCGCCCACGCCGGCACCGGAGCCCGCCGCGGCCACCGCUACGCAGGUGCCGGGGUCGGUAGCGGUGGCCGGCGUGCUGCACAAGUGGACCAACUACGGCCGCGGGUGGCGGGAGCGCUGGUUCUCGCUCCGCGACGGGGUGCUCUCCUACUCCAAGAUUCGGGCCGACGCGGGGGGCGGGGAGGCGGCCGGACGGAUCGCUGACGACGGGGAGGUCAGGCUGAUCGGCGGCGCGUCCGCGAGGAUCGACGGGGGGCGCCGCCCGGAGAAGCCCGUCGGAGUCGUCUGCCUCAAGGUGUCCGCAUUUCGUGAGAGCAAGUCCGACGACAGGAGAUUCUACAUAUUUUCUCCCACAAAGACACUUCAUUUGAAGACAGAUUCGAAAGAUGACCGUGUCGCUUGGAUCGAGGCCUUGAUCUUGGCGAGGAGUGUUUAUUCGCUCAGGUCACUCAGUGGAAGUAUAACUUUUGUGCAGAGUGAUGUUUCAGUUUCCACUGCAAGGCUUCGAAAUCGGAUGCACCAGGAUGGUUUAAACGAGAGUCUUAUACAGGACUGCGAACAGAUUAUGCUUUCGGAGUUUUCAAGCUACAGAAAGCAACUGAAGCUACGCUAUGACGAUCAUCUAAGCUUGUUCGGAUCUAGCAGACACCAUUUCGAGUGUAUUACACACCUAUUUGUGCAGGAAGGUAAAGAUGGAAAUAUAAUACAGGGGGCGUUGACAAAAAAUGAAUUUUCUAGUUCCCGGCAUGGAAAUUUCAGUGAAUAUAGCACAACAGAAUCUGAUGAAUUUGAGAAGCAAGAUGGUGGUGAAUUGACUUGUGAAGAGGACUCUACAUUCUUUGAUGCUGCAGACUACUUCAUAGAAUCAAACAGCAGAUCUUCAACAAUGUCAGAUUCCACAGAUUGUGGUGUACACAGUGCUACUAACAUAGAUAAUCCAGGUGGCCAAGAAGUUGUGGAUAUCCAAAUUCAAGAUUCUAACAACAUGCUACCUGAAAUCAAACGACGGAGUAAACUACCAGAACCUACUGAGAAAGAGAAAGGAAUCAGCCUUUGGUCCAUUAUUAAAGAUAGUGUUGGCAAGGAUUUGACACGAGUAUGCCUUCCAGUUUACUUCAACGAGCCACUUUCAUCCCUCCAAAAGUGCUUUGAAGAUUUCGAAUAUUCCUACCUUCUGGAUCAAGCCUAUGAAUAUGGAAAAGUGGGGAAUAGCCUCAUGAGAAUCCUGAAAGUAGCUGCUUUUGCGAUCUCUGGCUAUGCUUCAUCUGUCGCGAGACCUUGCAAACCAUUCAAUCCAUUGUUAGGAGAGACUUAUGAAGCUGAUUUUCCUGAUAGAAGGAUCCGCUUUUUUGCCGAGAAGGUUAGUCAUCAUCCAAUGCUGAUUGCCUGCCACUCUGAAGGCAAGGGCUGGAAAUUCUGGGGCGACAGCAAUGUAAAAUCCAAGUUCUGGGGGCAGUCAAUUCAAGUUGAUCCUGUUGGCGUUUUGACAGUGGAAUUUGAUGACGGUGAAAUCUUCAAGUGGAGUAAGGUGACAACAACUAUUAAUAACCUCAUUCUUGGGAAGCUGUACUGCAACCAUCAUGGAAUUAUGCACAUAAAGGGGAAUCGGCAGUAUUCAUGUAAACUCAAGUUCAAAGAGCCAUCGCUGCUUGACCGCAAUCCUCACCUAGUACAAGGCUUCGUGGAGGACAAUGAUGGAAAGAAGGCUUCAUUUUUAAUAGGAAAAUGGGACGAAAGUAUGUACUAUACAAAUUUAGAUACUUCCAAGGUCAAGAGCGCCGAUCAAUUGCAAGGUGCCUCCCUACUUUGGGAAAAGAACAAGCCUUCUCCCAACCCAACUCGUUACAAUCUAUCUUCUUUUGCGAUCACAUUGAAUGAGCUGACCCCAGAGCUUCAGGAGAAACUCCCCCCUACUGAUUCACGGCUAAGACCAGACCAGCGGCAUUUAGAGAACGGUGAGUAUGAGAAGGCAAAUACAGAGAAGUUGAGGUUGGAACGGCGGCAAAGAAUGUCGACUAAACUUCAAGACAAUGGUUGGAAGCCUCGAUGGUUCGAGCAGGACGCAGAGGACGGGGCAUAUCAUUACAAAGGUGGGUACUGGGAAGCAAGGGACGAAGGACGCUGGGACGGAUGCCUCAAUAUAUUCGGGGAGUUCUCAGAAACGUGA
This 2253-nucleotide ribosomal RNA is filed under the name Triticum aestivum (bread wheat). RNAcentral's name for it is "partial small subunit ribosomal RNA". The record is from RNAcentral. Lineage: Eukaryota; Viridiplantae; Streptophyta; Magnoliopsida; Poales; Poaceae.